This 59-nucleotide transfer RNA is filed under the name Loxodonta africana (African savanna elephant). It matches the Rfam family "tRNA". Rfam says of the family: Transfer RNA (tRNA) molecules are approximately 80 nucleotides in length. Their secondary structure includes four short double-helical elements and three loops (D, anti-codon, and T loops). The record is from Rfam by way of RNAcentral. Lineage: Eukaryota; Metazoa; Chordata; Mammalia; Proboscidea; Elephantidae.
AGUGAUUAAGCAUUUGGCUGCUAACCAAAAGGACAGUAGUUCGAAUCUACCAGUUACUC